RNAcentral lists this ribosomal RNA (253 nucleotides) under uncultured bacterium. RNAcentral's name for it is "partial 16S ribosomal RNA". It matches the Rfam family "Bacterial small subunit ribosomal RNA", at positions 524 to 776 of the family's 1533-position model. The record is from RNAcentral.
UACGUAGGGUGCAAGCGUUAAUCGGAAUUACUGGGCGUAAAGCGUGCGCAGGCGGUUUUGUAAGUCUGUCGUGAAAGCCCCGGGCUCAACCUGGGAAUUGCGAUGGAGACUGCAAGGCUUGAAUCUGGCAGAGGGGGGUAGAAUUCCACGUGUAGCAGUGAAAUGCGUAGAGAUGUGGAGGAACACCGAUGGCGAAGGCAGCCCCCUGGGUUAAGAUUGAAGCUCAUGCACGAAAGCGUGGGGAGCAAACAGG